UGGGGAAUAUUGCACAAUGGGCGAAAGCCUGAUGCAGCAACGCCGCGUGAGUGAUGAAGGUCUUCGGAUUGUAAAGCUCUGUCUUUUGGGACGAUAAUGACGGUACCAAAGGAGGAAGCCACGGCUAACUACGUGCCAGCAGCCGCGGUAAUACGUAGGUGGCGAGCGUUGUCCGGAUUUACUGGGCGUAAAGGGUGCGUAGGCGGAUGUUUAAGUGAGAUGUGAAAUACCCGGGCUUAACUUGGGUGCUGCAUUUCAAACUGGAUAUCUAGAGUGCAGGAGAGGAGAAUGGAAUUCCUAGUGUAGCGGCGAAAUGCGUAGAGAUUAGGAAGAACACCAGUGGCGAAGGCGAUUCUCUGGACUGUAACU
RNAcentral lists this ribosomal RNA (369 nucleotides) under uncultured bacterium. RNAcentral's name for it is "partial 16S ribosomal RNA". It matches the Rfam family "Bacterial small subunit ribosomal RNA", at positions 355 to 741 of the family's 1533-position model. The record is from RNAcentral.